GGCUUACAUAGGUAACACUCAUAGUGUUCUUCACAUACAACAUCUAUCUAAGGAACAGUCCAUAGCCCCAACCCAGUGACUCCCCAAGCCCUCUGGAUAGCUUCUACAUUGCCCAAAUCUGAUCAGUUAUAGACCCCUUCCAAAGAGAGACUUGUUCACUUACCUCUUCUAGGCUGUAACAAGAAUAACAUCAGCACAGUUGGCCUACUAUCAAUCAGAGAGAACAAUACAAAUUAUCUCCUACAGGUUAGAAUUAAUGAGAUAAUGAAUGAAUUAGAGCUGCAGCUAAUCAGGCAAAAAGUCCUUUCAGGUGUUGGUGGUAGGGCCAAACAUAUCCCUCAAUCUCAGACAACUCUUUGUUUCUUUAAAAUUCAGGUAUAAACCUCAGUAUCUUUGGACUAUGCCCAGUGCUCCUUGCAAUGAGCUGAUCUGUGGAAUAUCUGGAUUUUGCUUGGCGCUGGCUGUGAGUGUGCAGCACAACCCUGAGCCCAUGGAUUGACACGCAGAGCAGGAGCAGCUGCCACGAGCUCCAGGUGCUUGCUGAGACUGGAGCCAUGGUAAAGGGUUACCUCCAGCAAAAGAAAUGCAAAACACCUUUCUCAUGACCAUGAGGAGUUGUG
RNAcentral lists this long non-coding RNA (620 nucleotides) under Gallus gallus (chicken). RNAcentral's name for it is "lncRNA (ENSGALG00010030077.1)". Lineage: Eukaryota; Metazoa; Chordata; Aves; Galliformes; Phasianidae. The record is from RNAcentral.